RNAcentral lists this long non-coding RNA (211 nucleotides) under Nicotiana benthamiana. RNAcentral's name for it is "long non-coding RNA (NBEN_LNC042500)". Lineage: Eukaryota; Viridiplantae; Streptophyta; Magnoliopsida; Solanales; Solanaceae. The record is from RNAcentral.
GCAUCGUCAUUAAUCAAACUUAGUUAAGGUUGGAUAUAGCUGAUUUUCCCUUUCCGGGAUGAUUGGUUCUAUAUUGUUGUCCCCAUGCUGGGAAGUUAUUAUGUUACUUUAUUUCCUUGUCGGGAUUUCUUGUAAUUUUGUGAUAACAUAAAAUAGGAGUGGGUGGUACGCCAACCACAAGAUAGGAUGAAAUGUGAUCGAGCAGUACCCC